UACGAAGGGGGGCUAGCGUUGCUCGGAAUGACUGGGCGUAAAGGGCGCGUAGGCGGUUUGUACAGUCAGAUGUGAAAUUCCCGGGCUCAACCUGGGGGCUGCAUUUGAUACGUGCGGACUUGAGUGGGGAAGAGGGUCGUGGAAUUCCCAGUGUAGAGGUGAAAUUCGUAGAUAUCGGGAGGAACACCGGUGGCGAAGGCGGCGACCUGGGUCGAGACUGACGCUGAGGCGCGAAAGCGUGGGGAGCAAACAGG
RNAcentral lists this ribosomal RNA (254 nucleotides) under uncultured bacterium. RNAcentral describes it as "partial 16S ribosomal RNA". It matches the Rfam family "Bacterial small subunit ribosomal RNA", at positions 524 to 776 of the family's 1533-position model. The record is from RNAcentral.